RNAcentral lists this ribosomal RNA (404 nucleotides) under uncultured bacterium. Its description in RNAcentral is "bacterial SSU rRNA". It matches the Rfam family "Bacterial small subunit ribosomal RNA", at positions 355 to 776 of the family's 1533-position model. The record is from RNAcentral.
UGGGGGAUAUUGCACAAUGGAGGGAACUCUGAUGCAGCGACGCCGCGUGAGGGAAGAAGGUUUUCGGAUUGUAAACCUCUGUCUUCGGUGACGAAACGAGACGGUAGCCGAGGAGGAAGCCACGGCUAACUACGUGCCAGCAGCCGCGGUAAUACGUAGGUGGCAAGCGUUGUCCGGAAUUACUGGGUGUAAAGGGAGCGUAGGCGGGAAAGCAAGUUGAAUGUUUAAGGUACGGGCUCAACCUGUACAAGCGUUCAAAACUGUUUUUCUUGAGUGGAGUAGAGGUAAGCGGAAUUCCUAGUGUAGCGGUGAAAUGCGUAAAUAUUAGGAGGAACACCAGUGGCGAAGGCGGCUUACUGGGCUUUAACUGACGCUGAGGCUCGAAAGCGUGGGUAGCAAACAGG